GUUUACAUAGUUUAUACAAAACAUUACAUUUUCAUUGCAAAAAAAGAUCCAUCUUGUAAAC
RNAcentral lists this transfer RNA (61 nucleotides) under Cheironitis sp. MJTNT-2012. Its description in RNAcentral is "tRNA-Glu". Lineage: Eukaryota; Metazoa; Arthropoda; Insecta; Coleoptera; Scarabaeidae. The record is from RNAcentral.